GUAAUUCUCAAAAUAUUUCAAACAUUUUCAUCAUUAUUUUAUUUGUUAAGGUGAUCUGUGAUCAGUUGAUGUUACUAUUAUAUUUACUCUGGGGCACCGCCAACUGUACCUAUCUACGAUGGCAAACUUAGUAAGAUAAAUGUUGUGUGUGUUCUGACCAUUCCACCUAUGCUGUUCCCUCUUUCCUCUCCUCGGGCUUCCCUAUUCCAAGACACAAUACUGAUAUUACAUCAAUUAAUAGCCCUACAAUGGCCCAUAAGUGUUCAAGUGAUAGGAAAGUCACAGAUCUCUCACUUUAAAUCAAAAGCCAGAAAUGAUUACCUUAGUAAGGAAGGCAUGCUGAAAGCCAAGAUAGGCCAAAAGCAAGAGAUGGGCUCUUGUGCCAAACACCCAAGUUGUGAGAGUAGAGGAAAAAUUCUUAAAGGAAAUCAAAAACCUUCACACAAAUGGUAAGAAAGCAAAACAGCCUUAUUGCUGAUAUAACAAGUGUUGUAGAUAGAAGAUCAAACCAGCCAUAUAACAUUCUGUUAAACCAAAGCCUAAUCCAGAGCAAGGCCCUAAUGGUCUUCAAUUCUGUGAAGUCUGACAGAGGCAAAGAAGCUGCAGAAGAAACGUCUGAAGCUAGCAGAGGCAGGUUCAUGAGGUUUAGUAAGCCACCCCCAUAACAUCAAAGUGCAAGGUAAAGCAGCAAGUGCUGCUGGAGAAGCCGCAGCAAGUUAUCCAGAAGAUCUAGCUAAGAUCAUUAAUGAAGGUGGCUAAGCUAAACAAUAGAUUUUUAAUGUAGAUGAAACAGCCACUUAUUGAAAGAUGUCAUCUAGGACUUCUAUAGCUAGCUAAGAGAAGUCAAUGCCUGCCUUCAAAGCUUCAAAGGACAGACUCUCUUGUUAGCGCCUAAUGUGGCUAAGUUGAAGCCAAAGCUUAACUAUGAUUGUGAAAAUCCUACGGCCCUUAAGAAGUGUGCUAGAUUUACUCUGCAGGAACUCUAUAAAUGGAAAAAAGCAGAUGACAGCACAUCUGUUUACAACACGGUUUACUGAAUAUUCUGAGCACACUGCUAAGACCUACUGCUCAGGAAGAAAGAUUCCUUUCAAAACAUUGCUCACUGACAAUGCACCUGGUCACCCAUGACCAAGAGUCCUGCUGGAGAUGGAUGAUAAGACUCCUGUUGUUUUCAUGCCUGCGAACACAACAUCCAUUAUUCUGCAGCUCACAGAUCAAGAAGUCAUUUCAAUUCUCAAAUCAUAUUAUUUAAGAAACACAUUUCGUGAAGCUACAGCUACCAUAGAUAGUGAUUUUUCUAAUGGACAAAGUAAAUUGGAUGGAUCUGAUGGAUUUCUCUGGGCAAAGUAAACUGAAAACCUUUGGGAAUGGAGUCAUCAUUGUAGGUGACAUUAAGAACAUUUGUGAUUCGUGGGAAAAGGUUAAAAUACCAACGUGAAUGGGUUUGGAAGAAUGUGAUUGCAAUCUUCAUGGAGGACUUUGGGGGGCUCAAGACUCCAGUGGUAGAAAUAACUGCAGAUGUGGUGGAAACAAGAACGAAAGUUAGAUGUGGAGCCUGAAGAUGACACCAAAUGGUUGCAGCUUUGUGGCAACAUGAACAGAUGAAGAGUUGCUUCUGAUGGAUGGGCAAAGAAACUGGUUUCUUGAGAUGGAAACUACUCCUGGUUAGGAUGCUGGAAGACUGUUGAAAUGACAAAAAAGAAUUGAGAAUAUUACAGAAAUUCAGUUGAUAAAGUUGGAUUGAGAGGACAGACUUGAACUCUGAAAGAAGUUCUGCUGUGCAUAAAAUGCAAUCAAACAGCAUCACACAUUACAGAGAAACUGUUCACACAAAAAAGAGUGAACUGAUGUGGCAAAAACUCCACUGCUGUCUUAUUUUAAGAAAUGGCCACAACUACCCCAGCCUUCAAUACCACCAUUCUGAUCCAUCGGCAACUGUCAGCAAUGAGGCAAAAUCCUCCACCAGCAAAAAGAAUAUGACUUGCCAAAAGCUCAGAUGAUAGCAUAUUUUAGCAAUAUUUUUUAAUCAUGGCAUGCACAUUUUUUAGACACGAUGCCAUUGUACACUUAAUAGACUAUGCUGCAAUGUAAAUAUAACUUUUACAUGCAUGAGGAAACAAAAAAAAAAAUUCAUCUGACUUGCUCUACUGUGGCAUUUACUUUAUUGCAGGGUUCUGGAACCAAACCUGCAAUGUCUGAUGUGUGCAAGUAUACAAAAAGAAUGGGCUCAAGUCAUAAAUAAUUUUAAAUGAUUAAUUAUCCUGGCAAUCAUAGAAAUGUACAUGUUAAUAAGAUACGAUGACAUUUUCCAUGUAUAAAUCAGCAAAGAAUUGUAAAAUUAUAAUAUAUGGUGCUAACCAGGAUCAAGGAUAACACCCCCACACUCUGCUACUGGGAGUGAAAAUUGGCACACCUUCCAGAACACAAUUUGGCAGUAAUAAAAGCCCUGAAACUGUGCCUACAUUCUAACCCUAUAAUUCCACUUCCAGAAAUUAUUAUUAAGAAUCACAAAUGAGAAAAAGAAUUUAACUUCAAGAAUAUUCACACUAAAACAUUACAAAGUAUACCACUUAAUAAAGUCCUGUACAUCUCUCUAUACGCUGGCAGCUACACAGUGAGGCAGGUACUCUUGCUUGUUUUAGUAGUAGGAAGGUAAACAGAAAAGUAAUUUGCCAUUUGUAACAGAAAUCUUUAAAAUGUUCAGCGAUUUCACUUUCUAGGAAUGUAUUCCACGUGAACACAACUUUAUUUUUAAUAGCAAAAAGAAUAAUAAAAAUUUAAAUGUUCAAAAUUAGAAGCAUGGUUAAGUACAAAGUAUGACAAAAUCCAUGUCAUUCAAAUGACUAUUGAGCUGUCGAUAAGCUUUCCAAUCAUUUAAAAUAAAAUUGGAAAAUGUUCACAAUAUCACAGUAAGAAGAAAAACAUAGAUUCUACUAUAUGGGAGGGAGGGAGGGAGGGAGGGGGUAGAAAACACAGGCUUUUAAAAAUAAGGUUUUCAGAUGGAUUUUGCUAAAGUAUCUCCCUGGAGCAGUCAACUCGAUGUGCAAGUGCCAGGAGUGUAAACUAAUUUGUCUCAGGCUUCUGUGUCUCAAGAAAACAAGAUUUUUAUUUUAUGCUAUGAAUGAGACAGAGAACUGAUAUAAAAGUGUGGUAAGUGAUACAUAAAUCAGGUUUAUGACUCAGGUAUCCAACUGCAACCUUCAUGGGUGAAUUCAACUCAAGACUCCAGUUUUGCUGUCCCUCUCUCAUUACUGUCUGAUUCACUGGGUCCCCCAAUUUCACAAUUUCUUGUCCUUCUUCACUUGUAUGCUCCUUAUCCUUUUUUAACUCAUAAAUCAAAGGACUGAACUAAAUGACCUCAAGGAUCCUUUUAGAUUCUUGGACCCCACUGGAUUUACAACCACCUGGAGCACAAGAAAGCACAUAUGUAUCUAUUUUACUGGGGGGAUAAAAUGUUACCAAUACAUCAACUCAGGGCAGCAAGGCUCUUCCCAAGACCUCCUUUUGUUUCACCUCCAAGAUUUUAAAGCAUAAUGCUUUCUUUAAGGGCCUCCCCUUAGUUGUCCACUGGCUCCAUUAAUAACAGGGUCCUCAUUAACUACUUUCUAAGCGACAGUGCUUUUUAUAUUUUACAGCUCCACUUCAGAGACAAAGUCAUGCUGGGAAGAGUAUGUCAAGGCUGGAAAAAAAAAAAAAUCAGGAUACAAAAAGAUUUUGUUAGUCUGGAAUAUCCAAGCAGAUGGAAAUUUAAUAGAGAUAAAGGCAAAGUUCAUCACUUAGACCCCAAAACUACAUGGAAAUGAUGUGGCUUAACAUCAGCCUACACAUACAUACAACACAGAGCUGUGACUUCAGUUGACUAUAAUUUCAGGAGUCAAGAAUGUAGGACUGCUUGGGGAAAGAGAAACCUUAUCAUCUUGUUCUUCUGUUUUUUGUUUUUUUUUUAAACCUAGUGUCAAAAUAGGAAAGAGUAAAGGUUACUCUCCACUCUGUAAGGUGACAUUGUAUGUUGACGACUAUAAGCUGUGUUGUGUGCACUUUAAGAAGGGCAUUAACAAAGUAAAUGGAGGGCAGAAGACUAAGAAGCUGAUGAGGGCAUCUGUCAAAUAAAAAACAUUUGGGGACACUUGGGUGGCUCAGUCAUAAUCUCAGGGUCCUGGGAUCAAGUCCUAUGUUGGGCUCCCUGCUCAGCGGGGAGUCUGCUUAUCCCUCUCUCUCUGCUUCUCCCCUGCACUCAUACACUCUCUCAAAUAAAUAAACAAAAUCUUUUAAAAAGAAAAGAAACAUUUGAAGGAAAUGGAAAUAUUUAGCCUGUAGAAUGGAAGAUCUAGGAAAAGGCCAGAAAUCUUAAUAAUGACAGAAGCCCUCAAAAUGAAGUAAAUGAAUGAAGUCAGCAGGUAGAGACUUUAGCAAAAUGGAAAGUAUAUUUAGCACCUAAAGGAGAUUUCUACUGAUAGAAAUAUGAGCUCUGUAUCACUGAAUCUUUUUUUUUUUUUCUCAAGAAAAGCCAGAAAGAAAUUUUUAUGAGAAAUCUCCCCACUUCUAAAAGUCCAUUCUCAGGACGCCUGGGCAGCUCAAUGGUUGAAUGUCUGCCUUUGGCUCAGGUCAUGAUCCUGGGGUCCUGGGAUCAAGUCCCACAUAGGGCUCCCCAUGGGGAACCUGCUUCUCCCUCUGCCUGUGUCUCUGC
RNAcentral lists this long non-coding RNA (4687 nucleotides) under Canis lupus familiaris (dog). RNAcentral describes it as "lncRNA (ENSCAFG00845022152.1)". The record is from RNAcentral. Lineage: Eukaryota; Metazoa; Chordata; Mammalia; Carnivora; Canidae.